GUCUAUGACCAUGCCACCCUGAACAAGCCCGAUGUCUGAUCUCAGAAGCUAAGCAGGCUCGAGCCUGGUUAGUACUUGGAUGGGAGACCACCUAGAAAGACCAGGUGCUGUAGGCA
This 116-nucleotide ribosomal RNA is filed under the name Pteropus alecto (black flying fox). The record is from RNAcentral. RNAcentral also lists the same sequence under 1 other name. Lineage: Eukaryota; Metazoa; Chordata; Mammalia; Chiroptera; Pteropodidae.